AGUGAACGCUGGCGGCAGGCCUAACACAUGCAAGUCGAACGGCAGCACAGGAGAGUUUGACCUCUGGGUGUCGAGAGGCGGACGGGUGAGGAACACAUCUGAAUUUACUUAAUCGUGGGGGAUAACUCAGGGAAACUUACGCUAUUACCGCAUACUACCUCCGGGUCAACGAUGGGUAUCGCAAGACCUCUCUCGAUUCACUGAGCCGAUGUCGGAUUUGCUAUUUGGCGGGGGAAUGGCUCACCCAGGCGACGAUCCGUACCUGGUCUCAGAGGAUGAUCGGCCACACUGUAACUGAGACACGGUCGAGACUCCUACGGUAGGCAGCAGUGGGGAAUAUUAAGCAAUGGGCGCAAGCCUGACACAGCCAUACCGCGUGAGUGAAGAAGGCCUUCGGAUUGUAAAGCUCUUUUGUUGGGAAAGAAGUAGUUUGUGAUAAUAGCCUCGGAGCAUGACGGUACCCAAAGAAAAAGCCCCGGCUAACUUCGUG
This 490-nucleotide ribosomal RNA is filed under the name uncultured bacterium. RNAcentral describes it as "partial 16S ribosomal RNA". It matches the Rfam family "Bacterial small subunit ribosomal RNA", at positions 29 to 507 of the family's 1533-position model. The record is from RNAcentral.